RNAcentral lists this ribosomal RNA (1536 nucleotides) under Triticum aestivum (bread wheat). RNAcentral describes it as "partial small subunit ribosomal RNA". The record is from RNAcentral. Lineage: Eukaryota; Viridiplantae; Streptophyta; Magnoliopsida; Poales; Poaceae.
GUGGUGAGCAAGGGGAGUAGAAUAGAAGAAGGGGUACAACCACCGGAUGCCGCCGUACCGCAGGUACCGGAAGCCGGACCCCAGUCGCUGGUACCUCCGGAGGCCCGGAGGUUGCGCCCGCCGCGCCACCGCGAGAGCGAACAGCCGCUGCUGCUCGUGGUCCGACGGCUAAAGGUUCAGGUGCGGCUGGCCAGGGCGUCGGUGCAGGCUCGACGGCGAGCCGAGGUUGGGAACGUCAGCUACGAAAAGCGGCGGCGUGUGACCACUUGAAUGCACGUCCACGUCCUCAUCCCUCUCCCUCUAGGGUACAGUUCUCCUUCGGUAGCGACUACUCGGCGAGCAUUAGCGAGGACAAGCGGAGCGGCUUGCUCGGGUAGUGGCCGUACUGCUAUCGUAGUGUCGGGAGGUUUCGUAUCAGCCGCAUCAGGGGCUAACGUAGUAUUGCGUGAGGGCUCGCUUGUUUACACAAUGAGCACAAGUGUGUAGAGUAGAGGCGGUCGCGGGCCGGGACUACGCGGUAGCAGAACCACGUCAAUAUCUUCUACUCCAAGUACAACCGACCCAACUGGAAUUUGCCUUCACGGUCAAACGGUCUCCACAAGGUAGAGCCCUUUACCGUCGAGAAGCUCUGCAACUUCAGAAGAAGAUAGAAAUGUAGUUGCUGUACGUAUGACGCAAGGAGCAUCCUCUGCAGGUACUAGCAUUUCAGUAACUUAGGUCUCGAGGCAUCUUGUCCUUGUGACGGCAGCUACGUUGACUGGAGUUUUAGGUUCCCUGGUGUGCUAGAACAUCAGAGGUACAGCCCCUCGGUCUUACCCAUCCUCUACCACUCUAACGGCGUCGACAAACGGCUCGUCGGUGGGGAAACGACGAGGAGUCGGCGGUCUUACUCGUGCUUCGUCGCUGGUUUGGGUCUUCUUCCGAUUCUUGGUCGUCGGGCAUCGGUAUCCUCUUAUUCGGAACCUUUAAACAACGUCGUUGUUUGUCUCCCCGUUUGCCUUAAUCACUGGAACGGACCAAUGCUUACUUACUAUGAUAUACCUGCCUCGUCAACUCAGAAACCGUUAGCAGUAUGCGGUUACGUAUAAUGGGUCAACUGCCCCGCUCCUUUCUGGAACCUGUUUAAUAAUCACCCACCCGCGUCUAGUUCACCCACGUCCUGAAAAGUCUGUUCACCUAUAACACCUGUUACAAAAUUUAUCGCCCGAUAACAGUUUAUCGCCGCCUCCAGUUUUAGUCGAUAUCGCCUCGAUACUGCCCGAUAUCGUCCGAUAUCGCCCGAUAAACAUGUAUCCUAAUAAAUCGCCGUGGAACGACUUUUCCGAUAUAUCGCCCGAUAUCGCCUCGAUAUCGGCCGAUAAAUUUUGUAACUAAUACCUUACCAGAACUUAUCGGAGUCAGAACCACGGCACUUGACGCCCCGUCUACGUAUAUAUGAAGGCAGUGGAGCUUCAUUCCGCACCGAGAUCCAUCCGGCGGCUUGAUCUUGUCGAUGAGUUACCGCUGCAUGUAGUGUGCGGAACCCGCGCGUUCAGC